GGAUUUCUCCGUCAGACUUGUAAAAUUUAUCAUUAGAGUUGUUUUACAAUAUUUGAAGUAUAAACAUUUAUCUUGAAAAGACCAGGUUCUCUUGUUGCCUUAAGAAUUAACUUUUUUAAUGUUAAUUCGCGGGCAAACAAGUUUUUAAUGUUGUGUUUAUACUUGUGCUUAUUCACUUGUGUUGAACACAAUGUUAAUUGUUCUCUUUGUGCCAUGUUCUGUUUUCUUCUAUUGUUAUUUAAAUAAGUAUAUGCAGU
This is a non-coding RNA of Paramuricea clavata, 257 nucleotides long. Lineage: Eukaryota; Metazoa; Cnidaria; Anthozoa; Malacalcyonacea; Plexauridae. The record is from the annotation of a GenBank genome assembly.